GGCUCCGUAGCUCAGGGGUUAGAGCACUGGUCUCGUAAACCAGGGGUCGUGAGUUCGAAUCUCACUGGGGCCU
Ailuropoda melanoleuca (giant panda) is the source of this 73-nucleotide non-coding RNA. The record is from Rfam. Lineage: Eukaryota; Metazoa; Chordata; Mammalia; Carnivora; Ursidae.